This is a small nucleolar RNA of Protopterus annectens (West African lungfish), 72 nucleotides long. The record is from RefSeq and is a predicted model, not a curated record. NCBI's taxonomy places the organism in Eukaryota, Metazoa, Chordata, Ceratodontiformes, Protopteridae.
AUAUGAUGAAACCAAACUGAAAAGCUGGAAUUACCGGCAGAAUGUUCAGUGGUGAUGUACUGGUUUCUGAUC